UAUCCCCUGACUGGCACGCCUUUCUGUUCCUUCCCCUUUUCCACAGUGCAAUGAUCCCCAGUGAACAACAUUUUCUAUGCGACUAUUGUCCUCAUCAGCCAUACCAACAGGAGUAGAAUAGAGAGCGACCCGGUGCAGAGCUUAGCGGGCGG
Fundulus heteroclitus (mummichog) is the source of this 152-nucleotide long non-coding RNA. RefSeq lists it as uncharacterized. NCBI's taxonomy places the organism in Eukaryota, Metazoa, Chordata, Actinopteri, Cyprinodontiformes, Fundulidae. The record is from RefSeq and is a predicted model, not a curated record. The transcript has 3 exons.